Passer domesticus (house sparrow) is the source of this 6294-nucleotide long non-coding RNA. RefSeq lists it as uncharacterized. The transcript is spliced from 2 exons. The record is from RefSeq and is a predicted model, not a curated record. Lineage: Eukaryota; Metazoa; Chordata; Aves; Passeriformes; Passeridae.
AGUGCAGAGGAUGCAGAUAAGAGGGGUGAGGGGUGCUCACUGCUUCUGCUCUGCUGUGCCUGCAGAGGGAUCUGGGGAAAUCAGGUCCAUGCACAGCCAUAAAAAUGUUCAGGUUGCACAGACCCCAGUGAAAUCAGGUCCUUAGGGACUCCUGGUCACCUAAAUAUCUCAUGGGAACAACAGUUUCUCUCUGGUCUGAGACAUCCAGGGUGAAUGAAGGGCUAUUCAGGAGGACCCCGUCCACUUUUAGGGUUGCUCAGAUGCUCCAUCUCUGUAAGGAAACAGCCAGGCCAGAACAUCAUCUCUGGGAUGCAUUUGGGAAAGGGAGGGGAUACAUUAUCUCAUUGGCCUGAAUGCUCCUCUUCUCUUUCCUCCCCCAGAAAAGCUGCCAAGAGUAAAGAUCUCUCAGGAAAUAAACUCCCACUCCCUUGUUCUCACCAUGUGCAGAGGGGAUGAUGCACCAUCCUGGCAUGGCUGGGUAGGCAGGGGACAGCAACACAGCUCCAGCCCUACCUGUGCUACCAUGAGAGCUACUUUCAAAAGGAGAUUUUGCAUUAUUAUUUUUAUAGACAUGGAGAUCUUCCUCCUGAGUGGAGGCAGACUCAGCUUGGAGGUGGGGGGUGUCAGAUACUGCUGUCAAAUAGGCUCAGAAACAGACACACAUGUAUAAUACAUGCUAGACAGUUUGGCUGACAAAUUAUUGUUUCUGCUGUCACUUAAAUUGUUCUAUACGUGAUCUUCCCCUCCCAUUUCUGUUUCAAUCAAACCUGCCUAGGGAUGACUCUCCUUCCAGCCCUUCUCAUGACUAAACCAGUUUAAAACCCAGUUUGCUCCAUUCAUGCACAGUGAGUUGGACUCAUUUCCCUUUUGAAGUUGUGGAUGGCCAAGAGGAGGGAAAUGACAGGGAUGCUCUUUGCUUCCUGCUCCCUGUUGUACCUGAUACUACAGAAAUAAUUAUGAUGAAAAUCAAAGAGCUCAGGGAAAGGUAAAAUACAGCUCCUGUGUUAGCUUUUGGUCACAAGGUAGGUGGAAUGGGGACUGGCAUGGGAUAGAUCUGUGCAGAAGAGCAGCCUGGGAUGCAGGGCAGAGCUGUCAUUAGGGCUCUGUUCUCCCGGUGACCUCCAUCCCAUGUGGGACACCAGCAUGUGCAAUAGCAGAUUGUGUCCCAGCCCGGUGGGCAGUCCUUACCAGCUGGGAAGAGGAGCUGCAGGUCCACAGCAGUAGCUGCAACCAGGGGAUGGGAAAUAUGGGGACAACUUGUGCCACCAAAGACCAUGGAAAGUCUGCCUCCAGCUCUGGUCCAGCAAUUCUGGAUGGGACUUAGCUGGCAGACAAAACAGUUUUGUGUGUGAAGCCAGGAAAAUUUGCUAGUCUUUCCAGGAAAGUGCCCCUGGCUUUUCUAUCCUGCAAACUGUGCCUCAUGUCAGGAAAUCACCUCCGAAAUACUCACAUGCAGGAAGCUCUCAGCAUCCCUCCAUCAGCUCUGACAGCCCUGUGCCUCUUACAGUCCAGCACCAAGGCAGGGGUAGCACCACCAGAAAGCAGUGGAGUAAGGCAGAAAGCAGCUCUCAUCUUUAUGCUGGACCCAUCCAUUUCUCCCCUCUGUGAUGUCAAGGUGAAUUUGGCUGUUACAAACCGAGUCAGUCCCCUCGUGGUUCCUCCUGCCAGCAGCCUGUGCAGGUGAAUUACAGCUCAACAUGAAUCCUGUCUCCAUCUAGUACCCUGAAGAGCAGGAUGAAGCUGUCGGUGUUGACAAGAGCUGUUGAAAUGUCUUCAGGACACCCCACUUCAAGCAAUUCAGUCAGCAGAAUUUAGAAAUAUCUCUAAAAAGUGGAUCUGAAGGGUAUCACCUCUCAGUUUGCCCUACCUGAAUGGAGCAGCAGCUCAGGUGAGAGUCAGCUGAGUGAUCUGCUGGGGUUUCCUUAGAUCACCUGUGCCACUGACCUGGGGGGACUGUCCCCCUGAGACACGUGGAUUUGAGGAGACAUGGCAUACUCAGGGAUACUCUGGGAGGAGAACAGUAAAGGAGAGACAGACAGCAAAGUGUUUCAGCAGCUGAGCCCCAGCACAGGUAAGAAGAAAGGCCAUUGCCUCCUGCUCCCACAGACAAGGCUCAGACUCACUGUGCUGCUCUGAAACAAACCUCCAUGGCCACUGCUGCCCUACAUCUCCUUUCAGCAGCUCAUUAUUUGAAAUUCUAGGUCUCAGUUGUUUGCCAGUUGAGCUGUGCUGCGUUUUCUGAAGCAGGGAAAGGCUGCCACCAGUGCGUACCUGCUUGUUCUAAGCUCUGGCAAGGCAUCAGCCUCAGUGGGAAGUGCAGAGCUGCAUGCUCCCACCACUACACAGGUACAUCCUGCUCCAAAAGGCUAUUCACACCUGGGACCAAGCUGAGAAACUUUAUCUGGGAAGCCCAAGCCAUGCAUGAGGCCACAGCUCCAGCCUCUGGCAGCAUCUGGUACCUGCCUGCAUCCUCUGCUGCAGGCGGCCCCGCUCCCACCUGCCGGGGGGCAUCACCUGUAUUUACUGCUGCUUGAGUUUGCCAGUAACAGCAACUAACCUGGACACGUCUGUUCUUGCCAGGGAGUUUGCAGGGAGCCAUUCCCACCUCCCUGCUACCAGGAGCAGGGAAAGCAUUUCACAGUCAAUGCUCCUUUCUGUGUGGGGCUGAGGAAGGCAGGCAGCGAGCUGUGAAUAGCUUCAAAGAGGAAGGUCAGCAAGCCAGCGAGGAUGGAUUAGAAAAGGACAAUGCAGAAAAGACCUGAUUAAUUUAAUUGCUCAUCUGAAAUGUAGUCGCAGACUAAAGAAGGAUGAAGAAAUUAUAAGCAUAUGAAUGGAGCCAAGUAGUGAUUUUAAGAGAGAAUAUCAGAGCCCUGCCUCCCCCUGCACCCUCUGCCCCACAUACAAAGGGUUUUGUAUUCAGAGAUUACUCCAGACUUCUGGCUCUUCUCCUCAUGCUGUCUCUUCGGAAAUGGAGACACUGACUACCAACACAUGUUUAAUUAGCUGCAGCUUGAUCUUGUUGCUGGCGGCUCAGACUGAUCAUUAGAGCCAGGCAUGUGCCAAAACCUGUGAGGAGAUGUAAUGUGGAAACCAUUCUGCUCCCAGCAGAACUGAGGUUUUCCUGGUGGAAAUGGAUUGAUGGGCAUGGCCUCAGCCUCUGCAUUUCACAUCCUGCCUCGAAGGACCUGGAUCAGUGUCACAAAGGAGAAAUGCAUUUCUACCUCCCCUUGCUUAAAACGGUACCUUCAUCAGAUCUUUUUGUAUUUACAGUCAACAGAUCACACCUCCAAACACUUCAGAAAUAAUAUUUGUAACUAGAGAGAGGCAGAAGUAAUUUUAUGGAAAAUUUCACAGGUUGUUUUUUUUUUUUUUUUUUUUUUUUUUUUUUUUUUUUUUUUUUUUUUUUUUUGUUUCCAGUUGGAACAAAAAAACAAAAGAAACCUCCCCAGGAAAUAUACUAUAAAAGACAUUUGGUUUAGGUCAAAAUACCAUGCUUUUUUUUUUUUUUCCCUGAAAUCUGUGCCUUAUAUUUGCUAAUAUUAAAUAGCUGGAAAAUUAAGCCAAUUUUGAAGUGGAAACUCAGACUCUUCUGUGAAGGCUGAAAAUAACUUCUUAGCAUUCUUCAUCUUGCUCUUGCAAAGAGAGGUCAGAAACUUGUCAGCUAAAUCUGCUUCUGGGAAGCUACAAUUCCAAUUGCCUGGAUCACUUCACAGGCGAAAAUACUUGGAAAAUGUUGGAGUGAGACUGACAGGCACCACUUUCGGUCAUCAGCUUCCUCCUCCUGCUCAGUGCAAGCCGGAGCUGCCUCCAGGAAUCUGUUCUGCAGAGGGGCUCAUCCCCUCCCACAACGUGACCACCAUUACCAAGGGCUGUGACUGCUGGAUGAACUGAAACAUUUCUCUGACAACGACCUGGUUGAAAGAGUUCUCCAUUUGAAGAGUUCAAGCGAUGGGAGAACUUCAGGCACGGGCUGAGCCACUUCAGCUGUUAAUGACGCCUGGGUUGGGCUGAAUUCCUGCGCCUUUGCCUGGUAAUGGGAGCUGUCUCACCUCAGUGCUCUUCCCCUGACAGAAUGCUUUCUUCUGAGUCAGCCCUCAAUCAUCUGUUUGAGGAGUUGUGUUGGAAAGACUCAACAGAACAGGCUUCUCUGCUCUCUUCAAUUUUCAAAGCGUGGCUGUGAGGAAAGGAAUCAAAUGUCCCGAUUUAGGACUAAUUCCUUGAGACAUGCCUUUCCAACAGCCUUCAACAAAAUGUGUUUGAUUUUCUGUAGAAGAAAAGUGCCCCUCACCGGGGCAGAAGGCCAAAAGUGAUCAAGCAAUCACCUCUGUCUCUGAAGCUGCACAAAGAGACUGAAGAGUGCUGCAAUUGUGAUAGAACCCCAGCACUGAGCACACAGAACCUAAGAACUGGAAGUGCUAAAAUGACAUUUCAUUAUACAGGGCUGGAAGGUUAUGAUUCAGGGUCUGUGUAUUAAUUCCACAGCAGCUCACGUUUAAAGUCUUUGUAAUAAUUUAUUAAGGAUAAAUGAUAGAAAAGACAUUUUUAUGAGAUUGGUCAUUUAAAAUAAGUAUUGAGCUUUUGAAACACUGCAUGUUCUGUUUUCUACAUUUGACAGUGUUUCAGUGUUUCCUCUCUCCUUUGAAAAAAUAGAAGCUGGAAAAGGCUGGACCUGCCAGCACUAAGAGAUCUGCAGCAUUUUCUGAGACAAACCAUGAGGAACAUAUAAGGGAAGACAGAAACUGCAACUUCACUCUUACCUGCAGUAUCUGGGGCAGUGAUGAUGUAACACUGGUUACACUUCAACACUUGAUUGUCAUCCUGGGAGGCAAUCCCUACAUUUGCUUCCUUUUAGACCAAAUUUCUCCUGCCUGAAUUUUCUUGUAUAUCUGAUACUGUCUUUUCCAAUUUAUGAAAGUUGAUUUUUUUUUUGCACAUUUCUUUCCGUAACACUAGAAAUGGUGUGGUCCAGGCUUACGGUCCAGGCCCAUUAUCCCAGCUCCUCCUUCAAAAACACUUGCAAAAUGAACUGCUUGUCUCCCUUAUAUGCCAUGUCAAAGGAUGUCCCUGGUCAUUGAAGGCAGCACCAGCCAGUCACCAGCCACGUGUGAACAAUGCAUGGGACAUCUCUGAGAUGUGCUUGUGUAGAUUAUGCACCUUGGAGCAGAAAUUUGGGAGCAUCAGCCUCUCCAACCAUCAGUACAUGAGUGGGUGGUCAUGGCCAUUCUCCAACGUGGUCCCUGGUCCACAGACUCCAACACAGGUUUGGGGCAGGGCUCCAUAUAAACAACAUUCUUCUCAUCCCUCAUUCUUUUUGCAUGGGACACUCAAACCCAAACCUUGGAAAUAAACACCAGCACGGAAAAGAAUGUUUACCAUUAAAUGUAUUAUUCCCUUGUGUACAAAGUAUUUUGCCUCUAUUGUAGGACACAGGUAUUGAAAUAUGAUGGCAAAUGCAGCAAGACCAUACAGACAUGUCAUACAGGUAUUCUCAUUUCCUUUUGAGCAUAAGCAGAAAGAAAGGAAAGAUUGUACAGGAAAGUGCUUGCAAAAAAAUACCCCAGUUUGUAGAAAAAUAAUGGCAUUGAUAUAUAAAAUCCAGAGUUCUUUCCUGAACAAGAAAUGUCUAUUGUCUCUGAUCCUCAAAAUCUGCUCUAUUUAAUGAUGACAAUUACGGAAUGUCAGGAUCGGUGCUCUGUCACUUUUUCCCCUUAUAGUUUAUUUUGUAUUCUUUUAGGUUCUGCUAGCUGCCUUGAAAUUAUAUGGUAGAAAUGAAUUUGUCCAGGUCAAAAUAGUAUUUCUUUUAUAAAUAGCCAUUCACUUCAUUUCACUUCACAUAUAGUGGUAAAGCACCACAAUUUCUUUCUGAAGUUCAUAGUGCAAUUUUCCCUUUUUCCCCUACAGAAUUUAUACAUAAGCAAUUAUCAUUAGAAAAAUCACUAUUCCAUUAUUACUCCUUUCCCCUUUCCCUUUUUUCUCUUUCUCUUUCCCUUUUUCCUCUUUCCUUCACCAGUUCUCCAGCUCCAGGCUAUACCACAGCCCUGCUCACCUGUGAGGUGUCUCCCAGCUGACAGGAAUGUGUCAAUCCCUGAUUGUCAGGCUGACAGGUUUCACUCCACAGGCUGAACACAGCCUGGCACACACAGGCUAUGAAUCCAGGGAUUGGAUCGUUUAUCACCAUUGAUCCAACUGUUUUGUAACACACUGAUUACACAUCGUUUGGGGAGCUCUGUAAAAGACUCACACAAGAUCCCAAGGUUGUGUUUGGUAGCUGCUUGCAUCCAAAAUGGAAAGAGU